ACGGCUGCCAGCUGUCUAAGCUUAGCUGUGCUGUGCUGUGACAUUUACAAGAAGUCAAGAGAUUUUUCAGGGAGCGAGGACGUGUUUUGAAAACUGUUUUCUUUCUUGCAGUACAAUGGUGAUUUAGAGCUACCCAGCCCUUCUGCUUUCCCACCACCAAUGGUUAUUAUGCAGAGAUGGGGAAUCUUCACCACCACCAAUGGUAGCUCCGGCUCCUGGUUAUUAUGCAGAGAUGGGGAAUCUUCACCACCACCAAUGGUAGCUCCGGCUCCUGAUUAUUAUGCAGAGAUGGGGAAUCUUCACCACCACCAAUGAGAUAGAGAAUCAUCACCACCACCAAUGGUAGCUCCGGCUCCUGGUUAUUAUGCAGAGAUGGGGAAUCUUCACUACCAAUGGUAGCUCUGGCUCCUGGUUAUUAUGCAGAGAUGGGGAAUCUUCACCACCACCAAUGGUAGCUCUGGCUCCUGGUUAUUAUGCAAAGAUGGGGAAUCUUCACUACCAAUGGUAGCUCUGGCUCCUGGUUAUUAUGCAGAGAUGGAAAAUCUUCACCACCACCAAUGGUAGCUCCGGCUCCUGGUCAUUAUGCAGAGAUGGAAAAUCUUCACCACCACCAAUGGUAGCUCCGGCUCCUGGUUAUUAUGCAGAGAUGGGAAUCUUCACUACCAAUGGUAACUCUGGCUCCUGGUUAUUAUGCAAAGAUGGGAAUCUUCACUACCAAUGGUAGCUCUGGCUCCUGGUUAUUAUGCAGAGAUGGGGGAAUCUUCACCACCACCAAUGGUAACUCGGGCUCCUGGUUAUUAUACAGUGACGGAGAAUAUUCACCACCACCACCAAUGGUAGCUCUGGCUCCUGGUUAUUAUGCAGAAAUGGGAAUCUACGCUACCACCAACGUUAGCUCCGGCUCCUGGUUUUUAUGCAGAGAUGGAGAAUCUCCAGAAGUAGAGAGAUGAUGCUAUAGAAGAGGCAGAGAAACUGCAGGUUUGAUAGAUACGGGUCUAGGAUGAGCUGGUAGCUAUCAACAAUCAACCAUUAAUAGGUAUGACCUUGAAAGAAACCCAGGCUGUUCCAAGAAUCAGUAUAAACAGGCACAGACUGCUAUCCAUGAGAGCAAAGUCCUGAAAUCAAGGGUUCAUCUGGAAAUCAUCAGAAGUCACCCAACAUGAAGCAAGCAAUAUGGACUAGAUCAGGAGGAAGUCAUUGUCAUGCUGGAGGAAUUCCAUGACAUUUGCUCCAGCGACAAUUGCUCUGAUGUAAAUUCCACACAUUAAACAAUUGACUAACUUCAACCCUGGGUUUAACACUAUAUCCCACCCUAAACCUAACAUAAGACCCUAUUGCAACCCUAACCCUACAUCUUACACAAAUUGAAGUCCGGAGCAAUUGUCGCAGGAGCAAAUGUCUUGUCACCGCUGGAUGAUGGACUCGACAAGCUCAUGCCAAAGGUCAAGAAAAUUAUCAGAAAUAUGCUGCAAGAUCCAGUGCUUCACCUCAUGGCUGAGAGGAGGCUUACACAGCUGAUCGAUGACAGUGCUACUUAAAUCAUGUCACUCGGUGUACAACAUGGAUGCACCCCCUAUCUGGGAAAGUCUACCAGAGCUAAAGAUGUGACACCAAUCUUGACAUCUUCAUCUGCACUGAAUGUUUGGUGUGAUCAUUUGUUGGUAGAUACAUGGACAUGAUGUAUAACCCACCGGUAUAUAAAGACCGCCUGCUCAGAAAGACCAAUUGUUAUAUCCUUUGAAAUAUACAACAAAA
This is a long non-coding RNA of Lytechinus pictus (painted urchin), 1755 nucleotides long. RefSeq lists it as uncharacterized. The transcript has 7 exons. The record is from RefSeq and is a predicted model, not a curated record. Lineage: Eukaryota; Metazoa; Echinodermata; Echinoidea; Temnopleuroida; Toxopneustidae.